Molecule: long non-coding RNA, 970 nt
Filed under: Gallus gallus (chicken)
Lineage: Eukaryota; Metazoa; Chordata; Aves; Galliformes; Phasianidae
Description: lncRNA (ENSGALG00010012524.1)
Source: RNAcentral
CAUUUUAGCAUACAUGUUGACUCUGGCAGCAAUAUGUAUUCUGUACAUUGCCUAGCUCCAUUCCAACCUAUUCAUACAGGAGUGCUGUGCCUGCUUUGGAACUGCCUUGCGCUAUUUUCACAGAUUUCCUCCACUGGUCCUGAAAACUAACCACCAUGCAACGUGACAAGGUGAAAAGGAGAAAUCCCUCCAAGAUGAAAUGGGGUAGUAAAGGGAAGCAGUAAUUAAACGAUGACCUGUGGAAUGUAUUAUUGAUCCCUGAGAGGCUGGGUGAGAUGCAGGAAGACUAGAUGAGGAAAAGUACAGUAAAUAUCCUCAAAAAGCAAGGCAAAACAGACAAGCAUCUCCUAGGACUGACACCAAUAUAACUGAUUCAGCCUUAUAGUAAGAGGAAGAACUUAAAGACUUCUCCAGAUCCUUACCAGUAUUCUGAUGAUUUCUCUCCCACAUCCCUCAGUGUGGAGGGCGAUGGUAGAAUGGCUAAGUGGUUCUGAGCUGCUUCCAGGUUAAACCACAGCACUUCUAUUUGAAAUUGUCUUCCUACUUUAAGUAAUGUUCCUAGUUUAAGUAAUGUUCCUACUGAUAACAUAACCAGUGAAAUUGUUCCAUAUCAAAGAUAAAUAUAUAUUUAUAUAUAUAUAUAUAUAAUUCUACAUAACCUGUUAAUUUUUUGUUGUUGUUGUUUUAAUGAAUAAACAUUUUGGUCUAUAUAUUUGUCAAAGUUUUCUCCUGGCUUUACGAGUCUAACACAUGCAAUCUAUCGGUCACUGAGAGCUCAUUUGCUGCAGUAACGUUCUUUGACUGCUACAAAGAGGGGAGAGGGGGGGGGAUGGACCAGCAAUUUUUUGAAAUGUUAUUCCAUGGCAAAUUUGGCCAAAGAAUAUGCUGUACUUAAACCAUGACUGCAGGAUAGCAUACACAUACCUCAUUGCUUGCAGCAGUUUUUUCAUUUGGCCCUCACUCAUUUUCU